UAGUGUAUUGGACUACCAUGGCUUUAACGGGUAACGGAGGAUUAGGGUUCGAUUCCGGAGAGGGAGCCUGAGAAACGGCUACCACAUCUAAGGAAGGCAGCAGGCGGGUAAAUUACCCAAUCCUAACUCAGGGAGGUAGUGACAAGAAAUAACGGACCGAAGCAUUUGUUUCGGGAUUGCAAUGAGUAGAAUUUAAACCCCUUUACGAGGAUCAAUUGGAGGGCAAGUCUGGUGCCAGCAGCCGCGGUAAUUCCAGCUCCAAUAGCGUAUAUUAAAGUUGUUGCAGUUAAAAAGCUCGUAGUUGGAUUUCUGGGAGGGUGCCAAUGUCCGCUCGAUAGCGUGUGCAGCGGCGCCCUUCCAUCCUUCUGUUAACGUUUCUUGGUAUUCACUUACUGGUUUCGGGGUCAGAUAUUUUACCUUGAGAAAAUUAGAGUGUUUCAGGCAGGCUUGCGCCGGAAUACAUUAGCAUGGAAUAAUAGAAUAGGACUUUUGUCUCCUUUGUUGGUUUGAGGGACUGAAGUAAUGAUUAAUAGGGAUAGUUGGGGGCGGUAGUAUUUAAUUGUCAGAAGUGAAAUUCUCGGAUUUGUUAAAGACUAACUUAUGCGAAAGCAUUUGCCAAGGAGGUUUUCAUUAAUCUGAACGAAAGUUAGGGGGUCAAAGACGAUC
This 666-nucleotide ribosomal RNA is filed under the name uncultured ciliate. RNAcentral describes it as "SSU rRNA". It matches the Rfam family "Eukaryotic small subunit ribosomal RNA", at positions 329 to 1009 of the family's 1831-position model. The record is from RNAcentral. Lineage: Eukaryota; Ciliophora.